UAGAGGAGAGGUACGAUUUCAUGAGCUCCGUUCAUCUGAUGUUAAACUGUUUUAUAGGUGUUCAUUUCAUGUUUAAAUGAUCAACUGUGAAAAAGCAUUCCAUGUGAUGUUAUAUUUGACUAUUAGUUUUGAGUUCUUAAUCGGUUAAAUUAAGUUUAAGUGCUGUUAAUGGGUGAAUAGUAGUGAUGGAAAAAUGAAGCUUUGCGAAGCACCGAGGCUUCCCCUCAACUGUAUCGUAAAAAGGUUCAUUACUCGAAGCUUUUCAAGACCAUGCACACUAACGACAUCUUGUGGUCAAAAGGUGGAAAUAGCUGCCUUUGCGUCCCGGACGACCCAGCCAUUUUUGGAUUGUUUCAGAUAAUAAAUCAGUUUGUGCUAUGAAAAUAAAGCAAAGAAAGUAUUAACUCUAUAUAAAUUAAUCUUUUACAUGUCAGUCAUUGUUUUACACAAUAUAUGAAUAAAUGAGUCUGUGAAUAAAUUUAUGGAAAAAAAUAGGCAAGAAUGAUAUGCAUAAAUGAUCAAAAUAAAAAGAUUAUCGGAAUGGUCAGCUGAAGUGAUUGUGAAGCAGGAAUUAAUACAAAAUGAACAUGCACAAAACUACACAUGCAUAUAUUUAUUCGUAUAUUGAUUCAUUCUUAUAAAAGAAGUGAGUGACACUUCAAAUUGCGCAAGUGGUUCGCGUUAUUUGAAACAGAAUACGAAGUAGUCACGUGGUUGUGUGCGAAAACGAAGCUUCGGACGUCACAGAUCAAAUGGUUUUGGCAAAAUGAAUCAAGCUCCGGUACAGUGCUUCACUGCCAGAUGAUUCCUUUUUUUGAUACAGGCUUCGAAGCCUCGGUGUCGAACGUCACAUCACUAGUGAAUAGUAUAUUGCGUGAAAUGGCGUCCUGGUGUGUGCGUCAUGAGUGAGAGAUGUGUUAGCGGUUAAGCGGCUAACAUUUGAUUAAAUGUGCAAAAGUGAAAAGUCUGGCAGAUAACAGUGCUUGUCUGUUUGUGUGUUUUACCUUACAGGUGUGUCUCGUCUUCCUCCCUGAUUGUUCUGCCUUUAUAAGCCCCAGCCCUUCCAGUUAGUGUUUGUUGGUCCUUGAAUGUCUUCCAUGUGCUCUAUGUUCCCUAUUUUGGAUUUAUUAAAGAC
This is a long non-coding RNA of Onychostoma macrolepis, 1135 nucleotides long. RefSeq lists it as uncharacterized. The record is from RefSeq and is a predicted model, not a curated record. The transcript is spliced from 3 exons. Lineage: Eukaryota; Metazoa; Chordata; Actinopteri; Cypriniformes; Cyprinidae.